AAGUCGUAACAAGGUCUCCGUAGGUGAACCUGCGGAGGGAUCAUUACCAAAGAUGGCGGGGCCUCCGGGGCCCCGCCGUCCCCCAAACCCCUUUUGUUUGACCAAAACCUUUUUUGCCCUCGGGGGCAGAGCGUCCGCCGCCGCCCCGCGGACGCGCAACGACGUCUCUUUACGUCGGAGUAUUGAUUGAAUAAAUGAAAA
RNAcentral lists this unclassified non-coding RNA (201 nucleotides) under plant metagenome. Its description in RNAcentral is "partial contains small subunit ribosomal RNA and internal transcribed spacer 1". The stretch from base 1 to 46 matches the Rfam family "Eukaryotic small subunit ribosomal RNA", at positions 1786 to 1831 of the family's 1831-position model. The record is from RNAcentral.